Molecule: ribosomal RNA, 401 nt
Filed under: uncultured Alphaproteobacteria bacterium
Lineage: Bacteria; Pseudomonadati; Pseudomonadota; Alphaproteobacteria
Description: bacterial SSU rRNA
Rfam family: Bacterial small subunit ribosomal RNA
Source: RNAcentral
GAGUUUGAUCAUGGCUCAGAACGAACGCUGGCGGCAUGCCUAACACAUGCAAGUCGAACGGGAUCCUGGUUUCGGCCAGGUGAGAGUGGCGGACGGGUGAGUAACGCGUGGGAACCUGCCCAGUGGUGGGGGAUAACUGCGGGAAACUGCAGCUAAUACCGCAUGAGCCCGAGAGGGGAAAGAUUUAUCGCCAUUGGAGGGGCCCGCGUUCGAUUAGGUAGUUGGUGGGGUAACGGCCUACCAAGCCGACGAUCGAUAGCUGGUCUGAGAGGAUGAUCAGCCACACUGGGACUGAGAUACGGCCCAGACUCCUACGGGAGGCAGCAGUGGGGAAUAUUGGACAAUGGGGGCAACCCUGAUCCAGCAAUGCCGCGUGAGUGAUGAAGGCCUUCGGUUGUAAG